This 377-nucleotide ribosomal RNA is filed under the name uncultured Serratia sp. RNAcentral's name for it is "bacterial SSU rRNA". It matches the Rfam family "Bacterial small subunit ribosomal RNA", at positions 521 to 896 of the family's 1533-position model. The record is from RNAcentral. Lineage: Bacteria; Pseudomonadati; Pseudomonadota; Gammaproteobacteria; Enterobacterales; Yersiniaceae.
UAAUACGAAGGGGGCUAGCGUUGUUCGGAAUUACUGGGCGUAAAGCGCACGCAGGCGGUUUGUUAAGUCAGAUGUGAAAUCCCCGGGCUCAACCUGGGAACUGCAUUUGAAACUGGCAAGCUAGAGUCUCGUAGAGGGGGGGUAGAAUUCCAGGUGUAGCGGUGAAAUGCGUAGAGAUCUGGAGGAAUACCGGUGGCGAAGGCGGCCCCCUGGACGAAGACUGACGCUCAGGUGCGAAAGCGUGGGGAGCAAACAGGAUUAGAUACCCUGGUAGUCCACGCUGUAAACGAUGUCGAUUUAGAGGUUGUGCCCUUGAGGCGUGGCUUCCGGAGCUAACGCGUUAAAUCGACCGCCUGGGGAGUACGGCCGCAAGGUUA